This 403-nucleotide ribosomal RNA is filed under the name uncultured bacterium. RNAcentral describes it as "partial 16S ribosomal RNA". It matches the Rfam family "Bacterial small subunit ribosomal RNA", at positions 28 to 526 of the family's 1533-position model. The record is from RNAcentral.
GACGAACGCUGGCGGCGUGCCUAAUACAUGCAAGUCGAACGCAGUGGGGACGGGUGAGUAACCCGUGGGUAACCUCCCAUCAGAGGGGAUAACACUUGGAAACAGGUGCUAAACCGAUACUGAUGGAUGGACCCGCGGUGCAUUAGCUAGUUGGUGAGGUAACGGCUCACCAAGGCCACGAUGCAAAGCCGACCGGAGAUGGGUAUCGGCCACACUGAGACGUAGACACGGCCCAGACUCCUACGGGAGUCAGCAGGAGGGAAUCUUCGGCAAUGGGGGGAACCCUGACCGAGCAACGCAGCGGGAGUGAAGAAGGUUUUCGGAUCGUAAAGCUCUGUGGUUAAGGAAGCGGUACUUAACCAGAAAGGGACGGCUAACUACGUGCCAGCAGCCGCGGUAAUAC